CUUUCCCCUCGUUCGGGGGGAAUGAGGGAGGCACAGAGAAGAGAGGGCAGCCGGCAGCAAGUUCAGGGUUCAGCGUUGAGUCUAGAGGGGCAGGAGGGUUGGGGGCGCUCGAUGGUGUUGUGACGUGUAGCGGAGACUAGAAGGGGGCCUAGAGAUCUAGAGAGCGCGUGGGUGGGGGCCGGGCGAUGCAGCGGCGGCGGCGUGCGACACCGGUGCCGCUCUACGAGGCGGAGUCCCGCAAGGCCGGCUGCUCGCUGUUCCACCACUUCUAGGUCGAGGUGGGGUGAGUGGGGACCGAGCAGUGGCGGCUGCGGUUACUGGCGCAGAGCCAGACCCUGACCCUCGUGGCGGUCCACUAGAUACUCGACUUCCGCCCACCGUAGCUACUUGCUUCCGACCAACCACACUUCGAACUCUUCGAGCGGCUCCCUCUUUGACUAAGAUUUCCUUUCGGGUGACUCCGUUAAGCUCCGCCUUCACAUUUCGUCCAAAGAAAAAUACUACUGCUACAUGCGAAAACCGUUGUAACCGCGUUAACGAGACGACGAUCGCUCCGAGGUUGACGUCAAUUAGUUGUUAGCAGGCGAAAGUCACGUGGACGUGGUAGAUGUUCUCCUUCUGUAAAACAACAAUAAACAACACUCUUGUUUCGUUAUAAAAACCUGAAUCACUGAUACGCACCGGCGCUACAAGGAUUCGUUCUCGAACUGUUGUUCAGUGAAAAUACAUACCUCAAGGAGAGGUCCAGUAGAAGAUCACUACGGGGAGAACAACGUAAGCCCCGUAGGCUACCACACUAAUCUCAAGAGAGUUACUACUGUACCUUCGAACACUCUUCCAUAUGACCACCUGUAUUUCCUCGUUAUAGAACGAAUUACUGUAAGUACAGACGUCGACCGCUCCAUGUAAAUCAAAGACCACCAUCACUACCGGACGACCAUAAUACCUCGCGACUAGUAUAGGUACUGAGAGCCCUUGAACAUGGAUUCUAAUCAAACUUCCGAGUGCUACCUCCCCACCAACGCCAACUUGAAAGUUCCCAUUACCCUUCACGAGGUGUCGAGUAAUGUUAUCCCCGACUAUUUUGAAAUCGGUAUACCCUAUGGCAAUGUAAGUUCCUUUAUUCCGCGUAAUUUGGUCAUGGAUUUGAACGGACGGUAUCACAACGUAGAACCACGGUGGGAGCACGUGGUUUGGAACUAUAAGACUGAACACAGUUCCUGAGGGUAUAAACCCGGUAUCUUGUAGGCUGAAUAAGACGAAAUUGUUCUGGUGAGACGCUUAACAGGAGCGAACAAGGAGGUGUUCGGGAACGUGUCGUAUUCUUUGACUCCCAAAUGACGUACCACCGUGUAGGGAACGUUGGUGUAGAACAACGAUGACCUUGUUUGUAGCCAUAAUAAAAUUCACUCAAGCUAGGUUCUCGUGAUGGCCGACAACGAGGAGAUGGUCGUGACUGUCUUUCGUUCCUUGUGAGACGACAAAUGUAACAACUUUCUCUUGAAUUCAACGACUUAAAGGUUAACAGUUUGUGUCGUUUGGGCAGGGAACCUUCACGUAGACUUCGUCCUUCUAGUUCCUCACUUAGAUAUCUAGUCGACUAUCAAUUCGUUUCGUUCUUCGUAUAGUCGUGUGGGCGAGGAGUACUAAGUAUAAGUUAAGAAAGUCGAUCGUCAAGACCUUUCAUACAACGUCAACAUACCGGUCUGUAAGGAAGUAAGCAACACAUGUUUCGAUCACUAACCAGUCAACAACUAAGUCCGUGCCCUUUUGAAAAACGUACCCUGUCGACAGCGCUGUCUAUACGAAACCAGCUCUCACGUAACCGAGGUUCCUACGGUGAAUAACACUUUCCACCAAGGAGAUUUUUCCGUUUUCUUCGUCGACGUCGUCGUCGAGUUCGUCGUCGACGUCGACGAUCACGACGAAGAAGUCGGUGUCAUGUUCAAGCGUAAAACAAUCUACUACCUUGUCGAGUACAAGACGUCUCUAGGUAACUGCCGGCAUCACUUGGCCAGCAACCGAACGUACCACCACGAGACGAACCACAAUGUAUGGCUUGUAGAGCAUCUUAGUCAGGAAACUGCCGGUGACGAUAUAGUUGACAAGUUAGUUACGGGGAUAGUCCGAAGCCUCCUUCACCUAGUAGAAAACGAAGCCUACUGGGUAAAAGGAGGUCUCUUCCCGGCGGGGUUUUAAAGGUCAAUAUGUCGACCCUCUGGAUAGUCGGGCAUUCGCCGAAUGAACGUGUUGGACUUACCUGACACACCCUGGUUUGACAACUUAUAACACGUAAACGAAUAGUCGUCAUGUAACAUUAAAGAAGGGACGCUGGAGUCAAAUCCAUAGAACCCCUACAAAGUUAAGGAAGACGAUGACCACGACAAACCGUAGCAUCUGUCAACAAACACCGAUGUGGUUGUUGGUAGCUCACGCAGAAACAACUACGACCUCAACGACGGUAACUAUAACUCUGUUUUUUCUCCUUUCUUCUUUACUUUCGUUCUCUUCGAGUCCCAGCUCGUCAACGUCUGGUACCUCUAAACCGAGAAUAGUGUCAGCUUCCAGGGGUCCAGUGACGUUCACUUUUUUAUAGUAAUUCUGGAGGAUACAACGUCCAACAAGCAAAUCGGAGGAAAGUCGUACGAGGCAGCUAUGGUGGCAAAUAUCACGGCUUCGUUAGGUUUAAUUUACCCCUACUAAGUCAUAAGGACUUUCUUAACCUACUAUCUUCUAUAAGACUUCACCGACAACGACCUCCUCCCCAUAGCCAACGUCAUUGAGCGAAAGGAGGACUCGUCUUUUCUGGAUAACCCGGUGAACAGGACCAACCACAGUCUCUGCCUCAAGACACCGAGCAACUGUCCAUAUACACACGUGUACGGAACAGAGAGUCGGUAGGGCCAUAAUCUACAGCCACGGAACGUCGUAUACCUCUAGGUCAAUCACGACAGUUUACCCGAUGAUCUGAACCGGCUCUCGUGGUACUACUGGAACGAGUUAAAUACGAACCUUACCCGAUACGAUGACUUCGUGAAGUAAAUGGACCUUAUAGGUUCUCCAACCUUAAGCUAGAACGUUACGUUUCGUUCCUGAACUUUUCUCGUGAACGUACAGAUGACUGUUACUCGUUAUCGGCUCUGCACCCUGUUCUUUGAUGACGAUGACUACAAUGCGUCUAAGAGUUAAAUCGUCAUCGAUUCGUCCGAUUCGUUCUUUCAGAACGUCUACGGCACGUCCCUUAUCACUUUAAACAGUUCCUCAAAAAACUGGAAUAACUACGGCGUCUACGGUGGCCGGUCCGACUUUAACGAGCACUUCAAGACUUCUCUAAUCGACGCCGUCGAAGACAUUUCCCUCGAGACGUACCCGUUUGGAAUGCUCCAGACCGUGAUGCAGAACGUUUGGUACCCCUUGAAUGAUCUGAUAGCCCAAAUCACCGGUUAAACUAAUGUCGACCGGUACCUGCACUUCGUCGUAAACGUCGACGUCAAGACCCACUAUUACGGGAGUACCUCUUUCGUACCGUUCUGUGUCCUUACGACCGACUCCGGCAAAAUGUACGAGUUCGGGUACCAGCAGGUAGCAAUUCCUCGAGUCAGUAUUGUACCUUGUUCUACGAUGUUUUCCUCGACCUAGUGUGCGGUUGGCAUUUUUGGCUACGACGUCGUCGUAAGAACCGAAGAGAACUCCUGGGCUUCGAGUGAUCAAACCCUCUUUGACUCUUUUUUGGUGGUUAACUUUAUGAAGGCGGACCUUACGGCGGAGAUAGACGUGGAGGGUAAUAAUAAUUUUUCCGACGACGUUUUGGACCCGAAGGAUUACGGCGUGUCUGGGGUUGACGUCCACGAGGGUACUUAGUUCCGUGGGGUUACCGAGUUCCAUGAGGGUACUUAGUGUCGUGGGGUUACCGGGUUCCAUGAGGGCACCGAGUUCCACGGGGGUACCGAGUUCGGGGAGGACGAGGCCGUGUUUCGUGGCUACUCCAUUUCGGUAGCCUCCGAUGUUGUCGAGGACUGUUACACCUCCGAUGUCGUCGAUGGUCGUUACGGCUUCGAUGACGUCGGGGACCAUGACGCCUUCGAUGUCUUCGAGGCCAAGGUCUGGGUUGUUCAUCGUCAGGACUGCGACGACUACGAGGUCGAGGUCGAGGACGAGGUCGUCGACUAAGGUCACCGUGACUACGUGAACGACAAUGAGGGUCACUAAGAUGUUUACUACGUGGAAGAUGGUUCCUUGGUCUCUGUGUUCUAUUUGGUGGAAGUUGUCUCCGCAGCGGUAGUGGAGGUGGGUACGAGUUUUCUGCUGCUCGUCAUACACUCAUCGGUACAUGUAGACGACAAGAGCAGUCCUUCUCUUGAUAUGGCGCUGACGUCGGCAUCGGGUUCGGAAAACACUAAACAGUAUAGUACAACAAACACUAAACAGCUCUACUGCCUUAACUUCAAAACAUUCUACUCAGUUAGCACAAACCUACGGUUUACGGCGUACAACUACACGGAACCUCAAGGACAGCACACUGGUCAAACAUAUACCAUGAGGGAGGUAAAGAAAAAAUGAAACACGUAGUGAAAAAACAAAAAACGCAAAGAGGGUAAAUCAGACGCGGAAUGUGUACACUUAGUACAUAACUAUACACACAGACUUCAAUAUACGUCUGAUUUUCCUACAAU
This 4673-nucleotide ribosomal RNA is filed under the name Triticum aestivum (bread wheat). Its description in RNAcentral is "partial small subunit ribosomal RNA". Lineage: Eukaryota; Viridiplantae; Streptophyta; Magnoliopsida; Poales; Poaceae. The record is from RNAcentral.